UACGUAGGAGGCAAGCGUUGUCCGGAAUUACUGGGCGUAAAGCGCGUGUAGGUGGUGGGACAAGUCUGCUGUGAAAGCGCCUGGCUUAACCGGGCGAGGUCGGCGGAAACUGUUCGACUCGAGGACGGUAGAGGGGGGUGGAAUUCCCGGUGUAGUGGCGAAAUGCGUAGAGAUCGGGAGGAACACCUGUGGCGAAGGCGGCCCCCUGGGCCGGCCCUGACACUGAGACGCGAAGGCGUGGGGAGCGAACGGG
This 253-nucleotide ribosomal RNA is filed under the name uncultured bacterium. RNAcentral describes it as "partial 16S ribosomal RNA". It matches the Rfam family "Bacterial small subunit ribosomal RNA", at positions 524 to 776 of the family's 1533-position model. The record is from RNAcentral.